Molecule: ribosomal RNA, 429 nt
Filed under: Bacteroidota bacterium
Lineage: Bacteria; Pseudomonadati; Bacteroidota
Description: Bacteroidetes bacterium partial 16S ribosomal RNA
Rfam family: Bacterial small subunit ribosomal RNA
Source: RNAcentral
UAGGGAAUUUUCGGCAAUGGGGGGAACCCUGACCGAGCAACGCCGCGUGAGUGAAGAAGGUUUUCGGAUCGUAAAGCUCUGUUGUUAAGGAAGAACGAGUGUGAGAAUGGAAAGUUCAUACUGUGACGGUACUUAACCAGAAAGGGACGGCUAACUACGUGCCAGCAGCCGCGGUAAUACGUAGGUCCCGAGCGUUGUCCGGAUUUAUUGGGCGUAAAGCGAGCGCAGGCGGUUAGAUAAGUCUGAAGUUAAAGGCAGUGGCUCAACCAUUGUAGGCUUUGGAAACUGUUUAACUUGAGUGCAGAAGGGGGGAGUGGAAUUCCAUGUGUAGCGGUGAAAUGCGUAAAUAUAUUGGGGAACACCGGUGGCGAGGGCGGCUCUCUGGUCUGUAACUGACGCUGAGGCUCGAAAGCGUGGGGAGCGAACAGG